UAGGGAAUAUUGCAAUAUGGGCGAAAGCCCGAUGCAGCAACGCCGCGUGGGCGAUGAAGGCCUUCGGGUCGUAAAGCCCUUUUUGAGGGGACGAGGAAGGACAGUACCCUCAGAAUAAGCCUCGGCUAACUACGUGCCAGCAGCCGCGGUAAAACGUAGGAGGCGAGCGUUAUCCGGAUUUACUGGGCGUAGAGCGCGUGCGGGCGGAUUGGAGAGUUGGAUGUGAAAGCUCCCGGCUUAACUGGGAGAGGUCGUUCAAUACUUCCAGUCUUGAGUGCAGUAGAGGGAAGUGGAAUUCCGGGUGUAGUGGUGAAAUGCGUAGAUAUCCGGAGGAACACCAGUGGCGAAAGCGGCUUCCUGGACUGUAACUGACGCUCAGACGCGAAAGCUAGGGUAGCAAACG
RNAcentral lists this ribosomal RNA (403 nucleotides) under uncultured bacterium. Its description in RNAcentral is "bacterial SSU rRNA". It matches the Rfam family "Bacterial small subunit ribosomal RNA", at positions 355 to 774 of the family's 1533-position model. The record is from RNAcentral.